GCCUGGAUAGCUCAGUUGGUUAGAGCGGGGCAUUGGUAACGCCGAGGUUGCAGGUUUGAUCCCCGUAUGGGACA
Non-coding RNA from Podarcis lilfordi (Lilford's wall lizard), 74 nucleotides. The record is from the annotation of a GenBank genome assembly. Lineage: Eukaryota; Metazoa; Chordata; Lepidosauria; Squamata; Lacertidae.